CAAUGCUUUAAAGAAUUAUAGAGUGCUAUAGGAAUAAAGGAAAAGGGGAUUCAUUUUGACUGAAGAGAUACAGGAGGAUGAAACUGGGUUAGCUCUUGAAAGAAGAGAACUAUGACAACAAUUGCUGUGGGUAACAAUAUCCCAGACCGAUAGAAUACCUUGGACCUAAGCAACUAGGAUGAUUGUGCCUUUAAGUGAAAGAGAAGAACAGGAAGAACAGCUCCCUCCAUCAGGAAACUUAAGACCAACUCCAUUUGAUCUGAUCAGAGGACGUCUAUAAGGACCAACACAGUGUCACAUUCAAAAGCAUCUUUCUCCCCCUCCAAUCAACCAGUGUCCUGGGGCCUUCUUACCUCUGGAAUAGAAUCCAUGAAACUGAAAAUGGUUAGACAAAUGGAGCCCCAAAUGAUCACCACUAGCACCUACCAUCGAGGACCCCUAGACUGACCCGCCAACCCAUUCUUGCACUACGACACUGAAGACUCCCCUCCCGAGGAAACCUCAACUGCGGAGCCCCUUCUACCCCGCAGUUCAGCAGGAAGUAGCAAGAACGAUCGUCGCCCAACUUCCAAACAGCACUUGGGCUUUCCUGUUGAGAGGGGACUGAGGGACUAAGUGGCUAAGUUGGCUGGACUCCUUGGGUCAAUAGGGACUUCCCUAAGGGGACGUUACCUAAGCCAAAAUAAAUCAUAGCUGCAAGAGCCAAAAUAAAUCAUAGCUGCAAGCAAAGGAAUUAAAACUUCAACCAAUCAAAGGGGACUUUCCCCUAAGCCAAAAUGAGUCAAAGCUGCAAGAUAAGGGAUUGAAAUUUCAACCAAUUAUAUAGGGAGUUUAAGCUCUAACUGCAGCCUGAUGUUUUAAACCAAUCAGGCCUGCCAACCCACAGGUGGAUAGAAAAUAAGCUAAUUCUAUAGGACAAAAAGAGGAAAGGGGAGGGGUCAUAAGGGGAUAUAAGCAUAAGACAGCCAAGCCACAAACAGCAUCCCUUCUGGGUCCCCUUCCACCGCGUGGAAGCUUUACUUUCACUUUCGCUUUAAUAAAUCUUGCCACUGCACCAAAAAAUAAAAAAUAAAAAAAUAAAAAUAAAGUAAGAUGGUGAAAUAAUGAAAAUUCACAAAACCAAGGCAGAAAGAGUUGUAAGAAAAUAAGAAAAACUGUUUGCUAUAAAUAUGGCUGCAUAUCGGAAGUUUAAUAUCUAAAGUAUAUUGCUUUUAUUCAAACCAGGCUGCCAGUGGGACCAAGACACACACAGACAGUUCAUACACCAGGAAAACCAACAUAAAACCAACAGGCGAAACACUAAACCUUGGAAGUUAAUUAAAGAAAUUCAAAUGGAAACAAUUCUAAGGGGCCAUUUAACACAUACCAGAUAAACAAGUAUAAGAAUAAAUGAUAAAAUCCAGUACUAGUGAGACUGUUGUGAAAUGGUUGCUGGUAAAAGUGUAAAUUGGUUGUUUUUUGGAGUGAAGAGCCACAAGAAUAAUCAUACCAGAAAAUAUAGCCUAUAUGGGCAAUUCAUAAAAAGAACAAAACACAAUUAUAAAAAUAUUUAUAGCUGAAUUAUUUAUAAUAGCUAAAAGUGAAAUUACCAAAAUACUCAAUAUUAGAGAAAUAAUAAAACAAAUAAUGUGAUAUAAACCUAAUAUUCAUUCAUUAGAAAUGAAAACAUGAAGAUUCUGCAAGCAAAGGGAAAUGUGAACUGCAUGGAAGUGUUAGGGGCAAAAGUACUGGAUCUGGAGUCAAAAGAUCUAAAAUUAAGUAACCUUUGGCUAAGAAUUCAACCUCUCUGAACUUUGUUCAUCUUCUAACACAGCAGUUUUCCACCAAUACACAGCAGUUUUCAAAUGUUUUGGCCACUACCUAAAAAUGUUUAAUUUUUUCUUCUUUUGUCAUAAGAGCACUUAACGUAAAAUCUAUCCUCUUAGCAAAUUUUCAGUAUUGUCAGCAUUGGCAAUCAUAUGUCCUAUGUUGGGUAGGAAUGUCCAGAACUUAUUUAUCUUGCAUGACUGAAACUUUGUACCCUUUGACCAACCCUUUUUCUCCACCCCCCCAGUUCCUGGCAACCAUCAUUCUUUCUGCUCCUAUGAGUUUGCCUAUUUUAGAUUCUACAUGUAAGUGAGAUCAGUCAUACCUCAAUAAAGUGGUUGAAAAAAAGGAAAUUUUACAUUGAUUCCUUAUAAACACAAACACAUACACACACACACACACACACGUAAUCACCGGUAAUAAUGGUAGGCCUGGUGCAGUGGCUCACGCCUGUAAUCCCAG
Molecule: long non-coding RNA, 2268 nt
Filed under: Homo sapiens (human)
Lineage: Eukaryota; Metazoa; Chordata; Mammalia; Primates; Hominidae
Description: HSALNT0181388
Source: RNAcentral